AAGCGAAAGUGACGGUACCUGCAGAAAAAGCACCGGCUAACUACGUGCCAGCAGCCGCGGUAAUACGUAGGGUGCAAGCGUNGUNCNGGAAUUAUUGGGCGUAAAGAGNUCGUAGGCGGUUUGUCGCGUCUGCUGUGAAAUCCCGAGGCUCAACNUCGGGCUUGCAGUGGGUACGGGCAGACUAGAGUGCGGUAGGGGAGAUUGGAAUUCCUGGUGUAGCGGUGGAAUGCGCAGAUAUCAGGAGGAACACCGAUGGCGAAGGCAGAUCUCUGGGCCGUAACUGACGCUGAGGAGCGAAAGCAUGGGGAGCGAACAGGAUUAGAUACCCUGGUAGUCCAUGCCGUAAACGUUGGGCGCUAGAUGUAGGGACCUUUCCACGGUUUCUGUGUCGUAGCUAACGCAUUAAGCGCCCCGCCUGGGGAGUACGGCCGCAAGGCUAAAACUCAAAGGAAUUGACGGGGGCCCGCACAAGCGGCGGAGCAUGCGGAUUAAUUCGAUGCAACGCGAAGAACCUUACCAAGGCUUGACAUACACCGGAAACGGCCAGAGAUGGUCGCCCCCUUGUGGUCGGUGUACAGGUGGUGCAUGGUUGUCGUCAGCUCGUGUCGUGAGAUGUUGGGUUAAGUCCCGCAACGAGCGCAACCCUCGUUCUAUGUUGCCAGCGGGUUAUGCCGGGGACUCAUAGGAGACUGCCGGGGUCAACUCGGAGGAAGGUGGGGAUGACGUCAAAUCAUCAUGCCCCUUAUGUCUUGGGCUUCACGCAUGCUACAAUGGCCGGUACAAAGGGCUGCGAUACCGUAAGGUGGAGCGAAUCCCAAAAAGCCGGUCUCAGUUCGGAUUGAGGUCUGCAACUCGACCUCAUGAAGUCGGAGUCGCUAGUAAUCGCAGAUCAGCAACGCUGCGGUGAAUACGUUCCCGGGCCUUGUACACACCGCCCGUCAAGUCAUGAAAGUCGGUAACACCCGAAGCCGGUGGCCUAACCCUUGUGGGAGGAGCCGUCGAAGGUGGGAUCGGUGAUUAGGACUAAGUCG
This 1031-nucleotide ribosomal RNA is filed under the name uncultured bacterium. Its description in RNAcentral is "bacterial SSU rRNA". It matches the Rfam family "Bacterial small subunit ribosomal RNA", at positions 461 to 1488 of the family's 1533-position model. The record is from RNAcentral.